CACCGCGGUUAGACGAGAGGCCCAAGUUGAUACCCAUAGGCGUAAAGGGUGGUUAAGUUAGUCUCUAUUAAACUAAAGCCGAACGCCCCCAAAACCGUUAUACGUACUCGGAGGUAUGAAGCUCGCCUACGAAAGUGGCUUUAAAAUAGCUGACCCCACGAAAGCUGUGAAA
RNAcentral lists this ribosomal RNA (172 nucleotides) under Sicamugil hamiltonii (Burmese mullet). Its description in RNAcentral is "partial 12S rRNA". Lineage: Eukaryota; Metazoa; Chordata; Actinopteri; Mugiliformes; Mugilidae. The record is from RNAcentral.